This is a long non-coding RNA of Cucurbita pepo subsp. pepo (vegetable marrow), 851 nucleotides long. RefSeq lists it as uncharacterized. The record is from RefSeq and is a predicted model, not a curated record. NCBI's taxonomy places the organism in Eukaryota, Viridiplantae, Streptophyta, Magnoliopsida, Cucurbitales, Cucurbitaceae.
ACGGAUGGUUUUGAUCAUGUGAAACCGGCUCCUAAGGAUCCGAUCUUCGGUGCGACGGAGGCUUUCAUGGCCGAUCCAUGCACGAACAAAAUCAACCUUGGAGUGGGAGCUUAUCGGAUCGAUUAGGGGAAACCGGUUGUGCUUCAAUGUCUUGGAGAUGCUGAAUCGAAGAUCGCCGGUAGUGAGUUCUUGAUUCAAAUGUUGCGAAGGAAAGGAGAUUUUCUGGAGUUCAGGCACUUUCUGGGACUGGAACAUGCCGACUGGUUGCUGAAUUUCAGAGCCAUUUCCAUCCUGAUGUUCCAAUGUUCUUGCCUGAACCAACUUGGUCUAAGUGACACAUCACUUUCCCUUUGUUUGACAUGGCGUAUCAAGGGUUUUCCAGUGGAGAUCUUGAAGGGAUGCCAAAGUUAUAUGGCUGUUUCUUGAAGAUGGAUAUAUGGUAGGUUGUGCUCAAUCAUAUGCGAAGAAUAUGGGUGUAUAUGGACACAGGGUUGGUUAUCUAAGUGUUCUUGGCAAAGUUCAACAGCAAGCCAUGAUAGUAUGAUCUCAGCCUCAGUGACUGGCCAGGCAAUGUAUAGCAGCCCUCCCAUUCGUCUGAAGCCUGAAUGGAUUGAAGAACUGAAGAUGCAGGUCGGAAUGGUUUGCUAUUCUGGUUUAAACUGUGAGCAGAUUGAUCUGCUGGCUAGAGAUUUUGGUGUACAUAUGAACAGGGAUGGACGUGUGAGGUACCUCUAAAACUUUAUGUUAGGCUGCAUUAAAUUUGCAUCUUUGAUUGGCUGGUCGAUGAUUUAUGUUUUAAUUAAUUGAGCGAUAGUUAAAAUAUAAGAAAUAAAAAAUUUGUUUCUUUGAUU